This 497-nucleotide ribosomal RNA is filed under the name uncultured bacterium. RNAcentral's name for it is "partial 16S ribosomal RNA". It matches the Rfam family "Bacterial small subunit ribosomal RNA", at positions 28 to 507 of the family's 1533-position model. The record is from RNAcentral.
GAUGAACGCUGGCGGCGUGCCUAAUACAUGCAAGUCGAGCGAACAGACGAGGAGCUUGCUCCUCUGACGUUAGCGGCGGACGGGUGAGUAACACGUGGAUAACCUACCUAUAAGACUGGGAUAACUUCGGGAAACCGGAGCUAAUACCGGAUAAUAUAUUGAACCGCAUGGUUCAAUAGUGAAAGACGGUUUUGCUGUCACUUAUAGAUGGAUCCGCGCCGCAUUAGCUAGUUGGUAAGGUAACGGCUUACCAAGGCAACGAUGCGUAGCCGACCUGAGAGGGUGAUCGGCCACACUGGAACGGAGACACGGUCCAGACUCCUACGGGAGGCAGCAGUGGGGAAUCUUCCGCAAUGGGCGAAAGCCUGACGGAGCAACGCCGCGUGAGUGAUGAAGGUCUUCGGAUCGUAAAACUCUGUUAUUAGGGAAGAACAAAUGUGUAAGUAACUAUGCACGUCUUGACGGUACCUAAUCAGAAAGCCACGGCUAACUACGUG